This 1949-nucleotide ribosomal RNA is filed under the name human gut metagenome. Its description in RNAcentral is "bacterial LSU rRNA". It matches the Rfam family "Bacterial large subunit ribosomal RNA", at positions 1 to 1977 of the family's 2925-position model. The record is from RNAcentral.
UUAAGCGACUAAGCGUACACGGUGGAUGCCCUGGCAGUCAGAGGCGAUGAAGGACGUGCUAAUCUGCGAUAAGCGUCGGUAAGGUGAUAUGAACCGUUAUAACCGGCGAUUUCCGAAUGGGGAAACCCAGUGUGUUUCGACACACUAUCAUUAACUGAAUCCAUAGGUUAAUGAGGCGAACCGGGGGAACUGAAACAUCUAAGUACCCCGAGGAAAAGAAAUCAACCGAGAUUCCCCCAGUAGCGGCGAGCGAACGGGGAGCAGCCCAGAGCCUGAAUCAGUGUGUGUGUUAGUGGAAGCGUCUGGAAAGGCGUGCGAUACAGGGUGACAGCCCCGUACACAAAAAUGCACAUAUUGUGAGCUCGAUGAGUAGGGCGGGACACGUGGUAUCCUGUCUGAAUAUGGGGGGACCAUCCUCCAAGGCUAAAUACUCCUGACUGACCGAUAGUGAACCAGUACCGUGAGGGAAAGGCGAAAAGAACCCCGGCGAGGGGAGUGAAAAAGAACCUGAAACCGUGUACGUACAAGCAGUGGGAGCACGCUUAGGCGUGUGACUGCGUACCUUUUGUAUAAUGGGUCAGCGACUUAUAUUCUGUAGCAAGGUUAACCGAAUAGGGGAGCCGAAGGGAAACCGAGUCUUAACUGGGCGUUAAGUUGCAGGGUAUAGACCCGAAACCCGGUGAUCUAGCCAUGGGCAGGUUGAAGGUUGGGUAACACUAACUGGAGGACCGAACCGACUAAUGUUGAAAAAUUAGCGGAUGACUUGUGGCUGGGGGUGAAAGGCCAAUCAAACCGGGAGAUAGCUGGUUCUCCCCGAAAGCUAUUUAGGUAGCGCCUCGUGAAUUCAUCUCCGGGGGUAGAGCACUGUUUCGGCAAGGGGGUCAUCCCGACUUACCAACCCGAUGCAAACUGCGAAUACCGGAGAAUGUUAUCACGGGAGACACACGGCGGGUGCUAACGUCCGUCGUGAAGAGGGAAACAACCCAGACCGCCAGCUAAGGUCCCAAAGUCAUGGUUAAGUGGGAAACGAUGUGGGAAGGCCCAGACAGCCAGGAUGUUGGCUUAGAAGCAGCCAUCAUUUAAAGAAAGCGUAAUAGCUCACUGGUCGAGUCGGCCUGCGCGGAAGAUGUAACGGGGCUAAACCAUGCACCGAAGCUGCGGCAGCGACGCUUAUGCGUUGUUGGGUAGGGGAGCGUUCUGUAAGCCUGUGAAGGUGUGCUGUGAGGCAUGCUGGAGGUAUCAGAAGUGCGAAUGCUGACAUAAGUAACGAUAAAGCGGGUGAAAAGCCCGCUCGCCGGAAGACCAAGGGUUCCUGUCCAACGUUAAUCGGGGCAGGGUGAGUCGACCCCUAAGGCGAGGCCGAAAGGCGUAGUCGAUGGGAAACAGGUUAAUAUUCCUGUACUUGGUGUUACUGCGAAGGGGGGACGGAGAAGGCUAUGUUGGCCGGGCGACGGUUGUCCCGGUUUAAGCGUGUAGGCUGGUUUUCCAGGCAAAUCCGGAAAAUCAAGGCUGAGGCGUGAUGACGAGGCACUACGGUGCUGAAGCAACAAAUGCCCUGCUUCCAGGAAAAGCCUCUAAGCAUCAGGUAACAUCAAAUCGUACCCCAAACCGACACAGGUGGUCAGGUAGAGAAUACCAAGGCGCUUGAGAGAACUCGGGUGAAGGAACUAGGCAAAAUGGUGCCGUAACUUCGGGAGAAGGCACGCUGAUAUGUAGGUGAAGUCCCUUGCGGAUGGAGCUGAAAUCAGUCGAAGAUACCAGCUGGCUGCAACUGUUUAUUAAAAACACAGCACUGUGCAAACACGAAAGUGGACGUAUACGGUGUGACGCCUGCCCGGUGCCGGAAGGUUAAUUGAUGGGGUCAGCGCAAGCGAAGCUCUUGAUCGAAGCCCCGGUAAACGGCGGCCGUAACUAUAACGGUCCUAAGGUAGCGAAAUUCCUUGUCGGGU